UCCCUGGAGGUCCAGUGGUUAAGACUCUGUGCUUCUAAUGCAGAGGACGUGGGUUCGAUUCCUGGUCAGGGAA
Molecule: transfer RNA, 73 nt
Filed under: Ovis aries (sheep)
Lineage: Eukaryota; Metazoa; Chordata; Mammalia; Artiodactyla; Bovidae
Rfam family: tRNA
About the family: Transfer RNA (tRNA) molecules are approximately 80 nucleotides in length. Their secondary structure includes four short double-helical elements and three loops (D, anti-codon, and T loops).
Source: Rfam by way of RNAcentral